RNAcentral lists this ribosomal RNA (253 nucleotides) under uncultured bacterium. Its description in RNAcentral is "partial 16S ribosomal RNA". It matches the Rfam family "Bacterial small subunit ribosomal RNA", at positions 524 to 776 of the family's 1533-position model. The record is from RNAcentral.
UACGAAGGGGGCUAGCGUUGCUCGGAAUCACUGGGCGUAAAGGGCGCGUAGGCGGCCAUUCAAGUCGGAGGUGAAAGCCCAGGGCUCAACCCUGGAAUUGCCUUCGAUACUGUUUGGCUAGAGACCGGAAGAGGUAAGUGGAACUGCGAGUGUAGAGGUGAAAUUCGUAGAUAUUCGGAAGAACACCAGUGGCGAAGGCGGCUCACUGGUCCGGUACUGACGCUGAGGUGCGAAAGCGUGGGGAGCAAACAGG